RNAcentral lists this ribosomal RNA (484 nucleotides) under uncultured bacterium. RNAcentral's name for it is "partial 16S ribosomal RNA". It matches the Rfam family "Bacterial small subunit ribosomal RNA", at positions 28 to 507 of the family's 1533-position model. The record is from RNAcentral.
AUUGAACGCUGGCGGCAUGCUUUACACAUGCAAGUCGAACGGCAGCGCGGGCUUCGGCCUGGCGGCGAGUGGCGAACGGGUGAGUAAUGCAUCGGAACGUGCCCAGUAGUGGGGGAUAGCCCGGCGAAAGCCGGAUUAAUACCGCAUACGACCUGAGGGUGAAAGCGGGGGACCGAAAGGCCUCGCGCUAUUGGAGCGGCCGAUGUCGGAUUAGCUAGUUGGUGGGGUAAAGGCUUACCAAGGCGACGAUCCGUAGCUGGUCUGAGAGGACGACCAGCCACACUGUGACUGAGACACGGCCCAGACUCCUACGGGAGGCAGCAGUGGGGAAUUUUGGACAAUGGGGGCAACCCUGAUCCAGCCAUGCCGCGUGCGGGAAGAAGGCCUUCGGGUUGUAAACCGCUUUUGUUCGGGAAGAAAUCCUCUGGGCUAAUACCCCGGGGGGAUGACGGUACCGGAAGAAUGAGCACCGGCUAACUACGUG